RNAcentral lists this ribosomal RNA (487 nucleotides) under uncultured bacterium. RNAcentral's name for it is "bacterial SSU rRNA". It matches the Rfam family "Bacterial small subunit ribosomal RNA", at positions 28 to 512 of the family's 1533-position model. The record is from RNAcentral.
GAUGAACGCUAGCGGCAGGCCUAAUACAUGCAAGUCGAGGGGUAGAGGAGAGCUUGCUUUCCUUGAGACCGGCGCACGGGUGCGUAACGCGUAUGCAACCUACCUUUAUCAGGGGGAUAGCCCGAAGAAAUUCGGAUUAACACCGCAUAAAAUCACAGUAUCGCAUGAUACAAUGAUCAAAUAUUUAUAGGAUAAAGAUGGGCAUGCGUGUCAUUAGUUAGUUGGCGGGGUAACGGCCCACCAAGACCACGAUGAUUAGGGGAUCUGAGAGGAUGACCCCCCCACACUGGUACUGAGACACGGACCAGACUCCUACGGGAGGCAGCAGUAAGGAAUAUUGGUCAAUGGAGGCAACUCUGAACCAGCCAUGCCGCGUGCAGGAAGACGGCCCUCUGGGUUGUAAACUGCUUUUAUCGGGAAUAAACCUAUCUACGUGUAGAUAGCUGAAUGUACCGAAGGAAUAAGGAUCGGCUAACUCCGUGCCAGC